UGUGCCAGCAGGCCGGCGCCAGAUACGUGGUGUUCACCACGAAGCAUCACGAAGGCUUCACCAACUGGGGCUCCCCUGUGUCCUGGAACUGGAAUUCGGUGGACACGGGACCCCAUCGAGACUUAGUGGGCGAACUGGGAGAUGCUCUCAGAAAAAGGAACAUACGUUACGGCCUGUACCAUUCUCUUUUUGAGUGGUUUCAUCCCCUCUACUUAAUAGACAAAAAGAAUGGCUUCAAGACCCAGUUCUUUGUCUCCGAGAAGACAAUGCCGGAGCUUUAUGAACUGGUUUUAAGGUACAAGCCGGAUCUGAUCUGGUCUGAUGGAGAAUGGGAGGCUCCGGAUACUUACUGGAACUCAACUGCUUUCCUUGCCUGGCUUUACAACGACAGUCCUGUCAAGGUAUCUAAACCCGCUUCAAACUGGCUGUACA
Non-coding RNA from Pogona vitticeps (central bearded dragon), 432 nucleotides. The record is from RefSeq and is a predicted model, not a curated record. NCBI's taxonomy places the organism in Eukaryota, Metazoa, Chordata, Lepidosauria, Squamata, Agamidae.